CAGGCAGUAUCGUAUAACUUAUAGUUUGCUUAUCCAUUCACUACUUCUAUGUGUACGCACGUAGCCUACCCAUUUACUGCUUCUACAUGUACGCACAAAGCCUAACCAUUUUACUGCUUCUACGUGUACGCACAUAGGUCACACUGCUGUGACAAUAUAUCUGUGGCAAUGACCCACUCUCUCACACACAGAAGAGAAUCCAAAUCCAAAGCUAAGGAGCAAGACCUACAAGGUGCUAGCAUAUUGGUGGUCUAGGUGCUCCAAUCAGGCAUCUCCAUGUGGAUACCAACAG
RNAcentral lists this long non-coding RNA (292 nucleotides) under Elaeis guineensis (African oil palm). RNAcentral describes it as "long non-coding RNA (EGUI_LNC047918)". The record is from RNAcentral. Lineage: Eukaryota; Viridiplantae; Streptophyta; Magnoliopsida; Arecales; Arecaceae.